Molecule: ribosomal RNA, 489 nt
Filed under: uncultured soil bacterium
Lineage: Bacteria
Description: bacterial SSU rRNA
Rfam family: Bacterial small subunit ribosomal RNA
Source: RNAcentral
AGAUUGAACGCUGGCGGCAUGCUUUACACAUGCAAGUCGAACGGUAACAGGCCGCAAGGUGCUGACGAGUGGCGAACGGGUGAGUAAUGUAUCGGAACGUGCCCAGUCGUGGGGGAUAACGCAGCGAAAGCUGCGCUAAUACCGCAUACGAUCUAUGGAUGAAAGCGGGGGACCGUAAGGCCUCGCGCGAUUGGAGCGGCCGAUAUCAGAUUAGGUAGUUGGUGGGGUAAAGGCUCACCAAGCCAACGAUCUGUAGCUGGUCUGAGAGGACGACCAGCCACACUGGGACUGAGACACGGCCCAGACUCCUACGGGAGGCAGCAGUGGGAAUUUUGGACAAGUGAGCGCAAGCCUGAUCCAGCAAUGCCGCGUGCAGGAAGGAGGCCUUCGGUUGUAACUGACUUUGUACGACGAAACGGUCCUAGGUUAAUACCGUGGGUACUAAGUGACGGUAACCGUAAGAAGUAAGACUACCGGACUAACGUACGU